UGGCAGCCCGUUCUGCUCCCGAAGGCCCCGGCUUAGGCAGUCUGGGAUGCGGCCCUGGACACAGGGCUUUAUGCAGCUCCGAAGUGAUCCCAGCACGCAGCCCGCGUCAAGCUCAGCACUCGGCAACCAUAGGCACCCAACAAGGGGCCGCAGCCAUCAGUAACGGCAGCUCCAACGCCCAGAGAACUCACGGAGCAGACAUACAUCAGAUGAAGACACGGAGGCCUGAGCGCUGGGGGUCGCCCGGGGCCGCACAGCCGGUCAGAGGCCAACCCUGGGCAGAGCCAGGCCACACCCUCCCUCAAGGAUUUACAGUCUCCCCAAAGUAACCGCAACGAGGGACCCUCCCGUCACCAAAUUUCCUUUCAGUCACUUCCGUUUGUGCUAAUUCUGGCCCAACCGUUCAUUAUAUUUUCACAAUUCUUA
RNAcentral lists this non-coding RNA (426 nucleotides) under Pongo abelii (Sumatran orangutan). Lineage: Eukaryota; Metazoa; Chordata; Mammalia; Primates; Hominidae. The record is from RNAcentral.